RNAcentral lists this long non-coding RNA (361 nucleotides) under Cricetulus griseus (Chinese hamster). RNAcentral's name for it is "lncRNA (ENSCGRG00015032087.1)". Lineage: Eukaryota; Metazoa; Chordata; Mammalia; Rodentia; Cricetidae. The record is from RNAcentral.
GGUCUCUCAUUGAACCUGGGACUCAUCGUUUUGGUUAGCCUGCCUGGCUACAGAGCUCUGAGCAUCACCCUUGCUCCAUUCUUCAUGACUGGGAUUACAGUGGCGUGAUGUGAUCCACCGGCUAGAGGGGACGCCAAUGGAAGGCGUCCAAUAAGCUAAUUCUCCUGUCAUUAAGAAUAUUACCUGCUUAGUGAUGACACCCUAUGGAAGAAGGCCUCACCAUCCAGGGGAAGCAGAAAGGAUAUGUGAUAGGAAAUGGCUACAAAGGAACACCACUGAAGAUCAACAGCUACUGUCAGAAAGAAGAGACACUGCUCAGGCUGAGGUGUCAGGUAAUCUGUGUUGAGAUCCUUGCAUUCAC